CAGCCAGGAGCAGCAGAGCGUCCGGCCAAGGUCUAAAUUCUGUCCAGUUCCAGGAAAGGUGCAACAGACACAAGCUCUGUCUGGAGGACACCAUCACUUAAAAAAUGCCCAUUUGAUACACAAGAUAAAUGCAGAACAAACCUUAAUUCAUCAUUUUUAUAUAGGUGGAUGCAACAUCACUUAUUUUAGCAUAUUCACUGUUCAUUAAUAAUUCAAAGAGGAUGGACAGGAUAAACAGCUGAAGCAAAUGGUUAUCAAGAGGCCCUAUGGAAAAUUUUAUAAAAGGUUUGAACAGGAAAAGCUUUGCUGCCUGAAAGCUCUGAGUUUCUGAGUUUCCAGUUGUCUGAUCUAGUAAAACAAUAAAGCAGAGUGAGGAGGAGGAGGAGAAAAUGUCAGUUCAAACUGACAUGGACACAUCAGUGUGGGAGAAAUCCCCUGUAGCUCUCCCUGCCUAACACCAUCUUAAAUUUAACUUCCCCCUCUGCUUGGCUGACUUCUGUAGUAUUGCUUUUUCCCUGCUAGUCAAGGUUUAUUUUGAUCAUAUUCAUCCCUGUGGAAAGGAAUGACUCUCAAAUUAAUUCCUAUUUUCCUUUAAAAUAAAGAAACCAAGAAAACAUCAUUUAUGGCCUGCAGUGGAGUAGAAAUAAUCCAAGUGCAAGAUCACUUCUCUCAUUUCUUUUGUGUUGAGAAGUGCAGGGACUAAAUGGGCUCAGAGUUUCCUUUAUUUUACAGCAGCCUUUUAAGUUUUGAAUCACCUGGUAAAACGUGGCCUUCUUUUUAUGAGGUUAUUCAGUGAACCACAAUUAAAGCCCAUUAUGCAGGGAGGACUCCCAGAACACAUCUGCUCCUCAGUAACAUAAAUCAGAAAUAAACACAAUUCCCUGCUAGAGGGAAUGGAAGAAACCACCAGCCAGAGCCAAGACAUGCAGAAUGACUCCAUUAGGACCUGCCUUUGUUUAUUCCCACAAGAUUUAAUGGUCUGGCUGGCAAGUUAAUAUGCUGAGGAGGUCACCUCCAAGGUAGGAAUCCACCCAAAGACCUUCCCUGGCAGGGAAAAGCUCUCUCAAAGGAAAACAGCAAGAUUUUUUUUCUGUGGAGUCAGCACCAAAGUGUCCAGGCAUCUACAUAAACAGCUUAAAAUAAUUGUAUAAACUAAGGAACAAGAAAGAGACAAAUCCUCAAGGUGUUUGAACAGAAAAAUGGCUCAGGAACCCAGUUGGUGCUUUUAGGGGGGUGGAAGGGCUGCUGUGGUUUGUUAAUAAAAGAAUAGGAAGGUUAUCCACGUCCAAAAUGAGCUUUUUUGAACACUGGAGGACUAUUCCAAGAAAUUUCCAGAAACAUGGAACAUGAACACUCCACAAAUCUCAGGUUCUCUCUAUAAAUAGAAUAUUUCUUUCAAAAAGGGGCAGGUUUCAGUGCAGCUCAUUAUGAGCAAUCAAUCUGACCUGGUAGCUCGUGGAUUCACUCAGACCAAGUUUCUUGGACAGCCUCAGGAUUAUCCAGCAGUAAACCAAGAUGUUUUUAUUUAGAUGCAUCUAAAUGCUACAAAAAUAAAGGAGAUGCUACUUCCAGGCUGCUUUAUUGAUUUCACGUAGGAACUAUUCAAGCAAGGCAUUUCUU
This 1620-nucleotide long non-coding RNA is filed under the name Ficedula albicollis (Collared flycatcher). RNAcentral describes it as "lncRNA (ENSFALG00000024694.1)". The record is from RNAcentral. Lineage: Eukaryota; Metazoa; Chordata; Aves; Passeriformes; Muscicapidae.